GACGAACGCUGGCGGCGUGCUUAACACAUGCAUGUCGAACGGAAAGGCCCUGCAUUUGUGGGGUGCUCGAGUGGCGAACGGGUGAGUCACACGUGAGUAACCUGCCCUUGACUUUGGGCAAACUUCAGGAAACUGGGGCUAAUACCGGAUAGGAGCUCCUGCCACAUGGUGGGGGUUGGAAAGUUUCGGCGGUUGGGGAUGGACUCGCGGCUUAUCAGCUUGUUGGUGGGGUAGUGGCUUACCAAGGCUUUGACGGGUAGCCGGCCUGAGAGGGUGACCGGCCACAUUGGGACUGAGAUACGGCCCAGACUCCUACGGGAGGCAGCAGUGGGGAAUAGUGUACAACGGGCUGAAGCCAGAGGCAGCAACGCCGCGUGCUGGAUGACGGCCUUCUGGUAGUAAACCGCUUUCGCCUGUGACGAAGCGUGAGUGACGGUAAUAGGUAAAGAAGCACCGGCUAACUACGUG
This 468-nucleotide ribosomal RNA is filed under the name uncultured bacterium. Its description in RNAcentral is "partial 16S ribosomal RNA". It matches the Rfam family "Bacterial small subunit ribosomal RNA", at positions 28 to 507 of the family's 1533-position model. The record is from RNAcentral.